Molecule: long non-coding RNA, 1076 nt
Filed under: Lonchura striata (white-rumped munia)
Lineage: Eukaryota; Metazoa; Chordata; Aves; Passeriformes; Estrildidae
Description: domestica (Bengalese finch) lncRNA (ENSLSDG00000007529.1)
Source: RNAcentral
GCCCGCAGGGACGUGCCCGGACCGUGCCGCUGCCCACGGCCCCCGCAGCUCGCCGUUCUCCUCCCGGCACGUUCCCGGUGAUUAUCCGUGACUCAGCUGCGCGUCUGGACUGGGAAAACAUCCCCGCGCACCGCGCUGCGGCACACGGCGCUGUGAUGCUCGCCUGAAAUCCCGAUCCCCCAGGAAUCCCCGGGACCGGAGUGGGACUGGGAGGGACGGGACAAUCCUCUGGGAGUCUCUCUGUGGGGUCCCGCAGUGAGGCUGCGAACCCGGCAUGGGGGGUCCUGGUGAAGGUGCUGUGAGCAGGGACCCCAGGCUGGGCACAGCUGGGAUAUUCCUGCGAUAUCCUGACUCUGAGACCACCCAUGGGGAGCAGAGUGAGGGAGAGGGGCCACCAAAGCCACCGGGACAGGGGGGUACUGCAGCUGACGUGAGCUGGGAACGCCCCCAGAGGCUGGGUCUGUGCCUCGGGGGGCUUCCCGCGGCUCUCUGUGCACCCCGUCAUGGCAGUGCCCGUGCCAGCCAGUCCAUGGCGCGGAGGGGGCACCCGAACGCCCCUCAAGGUCAUCACAUGCCACUAGAUUCGCCCCUAAAUCCUUCAUCUGCACGGAUCUCUGCACCCCUGCACCCCCAAACCCUGCACCCCCUGUAUCCUGCACCUCCCGGGGUCUCUACCAUCCAGAUCUGCCCCAUCCCAUCGUGCCAGGACCCCGUGGGGUACCCCCACCGGCCGUGGGGUGCCCGUGGAGUGUCGGGGGGACACACUCAUCACCCCAUCCGUGCCAUCGGCUGUGCCCCUGCCCUUCCCAUGCCGUAUCCCCCCAGAUGCACCCCCUGUCCCCCCCCUACUUCAUCAGCCCCCCGGGGGAUGCAGUCUGCAUCUCCCUCCCCUGCCACUGCUCCCGGGGGCAGGAGGCAGCGGAGGGGCGGUGGGGCCGGUGCCCGGUGCCGGUGCCCGGUGUCGGUGCCCGGUGCCGGUGCCGUGGCCGUGCCGCGUGACGCUGUCCCCGCUUCCCGCCCGGCGCCUGCGUGCCGAAGGUUUAUUUUUACUCGGGGCUGGAGCCUUGUUUACCUUG